Hemicordylus capensis (graceful crag lizard) is the source of this 1719-nucleotide long non-coding RNA. RefSeq lists it as uncharacterized. Lineage: Eukaryota; Metazoa; Chordata; Lepidosauria; Squamata; Cordylidae. The transcript is spliced from 3 exons. The record is from RefSeq and is a predicted model, not a curated record.
AUUGGUCAAUCCUUUGAUUUUUAAUAGGGAUGUGCGCAAAGCGUUUCGUGCAUAUCCGAGACAGUAGAGAAUGGGCACUUCAAAAGGAGAAAGGCAGGUUUUACCGGCCCCUCUGUUUGCCGGCUGGAUUGGUUAGGAACAGGAAGUUCACUGUUCCUGUCUGCACAUGCUUACAUCCCAUUUCCUGCUGAGAACAAGGAACUUCGUGUUCCUAAGCAAAUACAGCCAGCAAACAAAGAGCCUAGCUGCUUAAUGCUGACAGCGCCACUCUGGGGUGGCAGAGGACAAGGGAGCUGCAACAGAGGGGUAGGUAAAUUCUUGAUAAUGGGAUUUCUCCUCUACCCCUUGGCAGCUGCUUUGUGGAGCACCAUAAGAUUCCAUCUUAUACCCUAUGCUAUUUAACAUGUAUCUGAAACCACUAGAUGAUGCAGGCAGGAGAUUUGAGGCACAUUCAAAAUGCUGGUUUUCACCUAUAAAGACCUAAAUAACUUGAGAGCAGGGUGUGUGUGGGAGCACCUGCUUCCGUAUGAACUUGCCUGCUUGUUCAGGUCAUCAUCUCAGAUUAUGCCUCGUGUUCUACCUCCACUGGAGCCUGGAUUAACUGUUACCAAAAAGCAGCAGCUCUUUGUUGGUUACCCAUCUAGGAUGCCCUUCCAAAGGAGAUUCGACAAGCCUCUUCCCUCCUCUCUCUUCAGAGAUGGGCAAAAAUGUCUCCUUUCUGGAGAGCUUCUGCUGAGAAUGGGGCUAAGACAGACAGCUCCAUGUUCCUUACAUUUAGUUUUUAUUUUUGUUUUAUUCCUUUUUAUUUUAUUUAUUUAUUUUUACUAGGAUGUGUUUGAAUUUUGUUGUGAAGUAUUUUGUUGGAUACCUGUUGGAGUGGAAAUAUACACAGACACUUUCUAUUUUAAAUAAUUAAUACAUUAUUUGUAUGUUUACUCAGAAGUCCCACUGAACCCCACUUCCCACUGAGUUCCACAGAUUUCAGUAACUGGAACUCGAUCCCAAGAAACUGUGCAUAGGAUUUCAGCCUAUAAGUGAUAAUUAGUUGCAUUGAUUCCUGCGAAACUUACUUCCCAAUAAGCGUAUUUAACAUUUAAAUCUAAGUUGAGGAAUCAUGACAUCACAGCUGCUUCAUGCACUCCUAUUAUCUCAUCAUAAUAGGAGUGGACACUACAGUAAUGGGAGGCGCUAUGGCAAUGCCAUGAAUCAACAACACAUGGGCAGCUAUGGAAAUGCCAUGAAUCAUAACAACACAUGUGUGGCUGACUCUUACACCAGGAUUAUGUGGGAUCCGGUUACAUAUUCACUAACUAAUCACACUGGCUGACAUCCUAACUAAAUUUAUUAGAGGAAGUCCUUUGAAAUGUAGUAGUCCUUUAGACUACUCCCUGAGAAGUACUAUUGGGAAAUUUAGUCCAAUGUUAACCACUGAAUUGUUGGCUGGUAUACAGAAUUUGUAAUGCUAGUGCAUGCCUACAAACUGUAGUUACCGUAGCUGGUAAAAUAAUGUCUGCCUUAAUCUGGGAACUGGAUCUCAAUCUGCUAAUGUCUAAUGUGCACUGAAUGUUUAAAUCCAUAAAGGUUUAGCAUUUAGAGAACAAAAGUUUGGCAAUUAAAUUUGAAUAUGUGCUUUCCAAGUUGCAAGGAAAUGUAUAUUUUAUAUCUAAAAAUACUUUGGCAGGCAUGCUAUCAAACCUCAUUAAAGUGGCUUUCAGUUGA